This 64-nucleotide transfer RNA is filed under the name Macropsis irenae. Its description in RNAcentral is "tRNA-Cys". Lineage: Eukaryota; Metazoa; Arthropoda; Insecta; Hemiptera; Cicadellidae. The record is from RNAcentral.
AGGUCUUAUAGUUUAAAAAAAAUGUUAAAUUGCAAGUUUAUUGAUGUUAUAAUACUAAGACUUA